Molecule: long non-coding RNA, 2084 nt
Filed under: Callithrix jacchus (white-tufted-ear marmoset)
Lineage: Eukaryota; Metazoa; Chordata; Mammalia; Primates; Cebidae
Description: lncRNA (ENSCJAG00000085153.1)
Source: RNAcentral
AUGAUCGCAAACAGGGUCCAAAUGCUGGCCCGUGGAGCAAAGUCUUGGGAGAGUUUGCUGACCCAACAGGGUACAUCGAAAACGUGCUCAGGAAGUUGUUUUUAUGUCAUGAUCUGGGGAUUAAAUCCUCCCAAAGUGUGCAAUGAUGAAGCAAAGAAGAAUUCCACCACACCUUUGAUGAUGAGAAUUUGGGCUCUUGGAAACAUUCUCAAAGACUUCAGUCAGUCUUCCUCUUUUCUUUGCAAUCAGAUCAACAGGGGACACAUUUGGGAAAAGUUUUUAAUUCCAAGGAUUCCUUCUCAGCAACACUGGACAAAGUUAGGAAAGAAGGCAAGGGGCUUGGUUAAAAUCACGCCAGAAGUUAGUCCUCCAUAAACAAGGAAGAGAAUCAUCACCAGCAACGGAAUCUGCUGCUGCUGCCAUCUUGAUCCUGGACUUCCAGUCUCCAGAACUGUGAGAAAUCAAUAUCUGUUGUUUCAGCCACCCAGCCUAUGGUAUUCUAUUACAGCAGCUUUAGCUAACCACAGUACUGUUGGUAGCUAAUCUGUGUGAUUGUACCACACCCAUAGUACCUUUCAUAAACUAUUGUAGUAAGUGACAUUUUCUAUUUAUGCAGCUCUAGUGUUCAAUUCACCUUGUAUUUCAUAUACUAAGAUACUGUUUAUUUGAUUAUUCAUCUAGUAAUUCAUUAUAUUCAACAAUUUUACCUUAAAAGCUUCUAAAGUCAAGCCUGAACUGUGCAAUAUUUUUAAAAUCUGUGUAAUUUUAUAAUGCUGCAUUUGCACUGCAUUUUCAUUAUAAUUUUUACCCAGUUCUUGCUAGCAUGAUUGAGGCAGCUGAAUAUUUUAUUUUAAGCCCUGAAACUGAGAUGGGGCUUGGUGAUGUCUUCAGUGGUAAUCGUAGGGAAAAGGAUAUUUGCAGUAGAACAUCCAGGCCUAUUGUGCAGGCCUGUGGGUUAUAGCCUGACCCACUUGCUUGCAGUUCUCUCACUAGAAAAGGCAGUCCUCCCUGCUCAGGCAUUUGGCAGAAAGCCCAAUGAAACUACUUGUGUUUUGGUGAGAGCAACUGAUCUGUGAGGAAUUCUUGAAUACAGAAGAGAGAAAUAGGACAUUUUCCAAGGUCCCAGUAACUAUAGGAACAUGGAACAACAGCAUUUUGGAAUAUGUAUGCAGGGCAUCAGGGAGCAUGAACUAUGUGGCUGCAUGCCUGCUGGGAGUGACUGUCAGAAGUUUCCUUUACAGGCUCUUGAGGGUUCCACGUAGAAUGUCUAAAAAUUAUUUUUUCAAGAGUGGAAUGAGCUAAUAUCAAUUAUGUUGAUCUAAACACUGCCUACCAAUUUUCCAUGUAUUAUCUCGUAUGAUGGAAGAUUAAAAAUAAAAUAAUUAGAAAAAAAUAGCUUCUAUGUAUUGAAGACCUAGGAUGGAUUAGGUCUUUAAUAUGUUAUUGAAUUAAUCCCUCAUCAAAUUCCACAGAUUUGUGUGCCUAUUUUAUGUAUCUAAGAAGAAGCAUAGACUUACAAAAAAUAGUUUUUGGGCCUGGCAUGGUAGCUUAUGCCUGUAAUCCUAGGACUUUGGGAGGCUCAGAUGGGAGUCUGGCCAACAUGGCGAAAUCCUGUCUCUACUAAAAAUACAAAAAUUAGCCUGACAUGGUGGCAGAAACCUGUAAUCUCAGGUUUCCGGGAGGCUGAUGCAGGAGAAUCACUUGAACCUGGGAGGUAGAGGUUGCAGUGAGCUGAAAUUGCACCAUUGUACUCCAGCCUGGGCAACAGAGCAAGAAUCCGUCUCCAAAAUAAUAAUAAUAAUAGUAACAAUAAUAAUAAUUUCUGACGUUCACAUAACUAUGUCAUAGAACUGAGGUUUAAACCUAUAUCUGUUUACUCUAAAGCCAAAUCUAAGAACAGAAACAUUUGGUAGUAACUAAUAUAUUGCAUUCCCUAUUCCCACAUAGAUAUUUAUUUUUAUAGGUGUAAUAAGUUUCCCAACAAGCCAAUUAAUUUAUUUCCAUUAGGUCAAUUUUAUGAUUUAUUUCAGGCUCUAGACAUAAGCUAGGAGUUAUUUCUAUCCCCUAACAUAAUCAAAGCAUGC